This 1365-nucleotide long non-coding RNA is filed under the name Podarcis muralis (Common wall lizard). RNAcentral's name for it is "lncRNA (ENSPMRG00000013875.1)". Lineage: Eukaryota; Metazoa; Chordata; Lepidosauria; Squamata; Lacertidae. The record is from RNAcentral.
CUCAAACGGGGAAGAAGUUUUGUUUCUCCCCAAAAGGCGGAGAAAAAAUAAUAAUAUCGCAAAAUAAGAAACGCGUUGGGACUCUAUAUUAAAAAAAUCUCUCACUAUAAUUAGUUUAAGAAAAGGCAAUUGAGAGGACACUCCAAGAGGGGGCUUUUAUUACCAGGCACCUAAACUUUCAAACGCAGCUGAAAGCCAUGUUGCAUCAGGCAGGACGCUGCUGAGACCGGUCGGCGGUGCCAGUUUAUCCUCUUAAUAAGUAUUUUUAAAAGAGGAGGGGUAACAGGUGUUUGUUUGUUUUUUAAAUAUUGCAACAAGAGCUUUCCACUUCCAAACUCAGGCAGCUGUGAAAUUUGCCAGCAGUUGUUAAUAAUGGCAAUGUUAAUUGUUCAGAGCAUCAUAUUCAUGAUUCAUAGCUGAAAUUUCACGGCGGCUUUUGAAAAACCAACAUGGUUUCUCCAAAAACUCGGUAUCUGCUGUUCUUUCAAUACUUUGGGACCAAGUAUUGUGGCGUGAAGGAGGUUCGUCCUGACCAGGCGGUGCUUGGAGUGCAGAAUCACUUAGAGGUAAAUACCACAGCUAAGGUUUUCAAAUUGGGUUGGGAUGGGCUAUAGAGAGAGGUGUGACAUUUUUGCUCUCCUGGUUGGGGGGUUCCGAGGAGCCAAAGGGCUGGAAGAGAUGCCUGGAAUUUUAUGGAAAUCCUAAGACCAAUGAAAGCUAUUCUCUGAAGGGCAGUGGGUUGUUCAGUGGACCAAUGACAAGAGGUGCUUCGACUCCGAUGUAAGUGUUCUAGGCAGCCAGUCAGAAUGUUUUCAGAUGCUGCUUCCACCUCCUUAGUGAUGUUGAACUGGGAUUGCACAAGAGCAAGCCAGGUCUGACCAGUUAUGUUACUGCAAAAGAUGAAGGGAUUGAACUGAAGACAAUCUGUGUUUGGAAAUUAUAUUUGCCUAUUUAAGAUUUCCCGUAAGGCUGCCAAAUUGCAGAAACUGUAGGUGUCUGUGUAGAUCGACAUCUGAAUGUAGGGAUUUGUCAUAAUCAUGAGUUCUCUCUCUCUCUCUCUGUGACCAAGUUUUUUUAUUGAGGUGGUUAACCCGUGUCUGUCUCGGCUAUCUUAGAAUGGAUCUGACAGUACAACAGUUUGUUGCAUGUAGAAAGCACAAAUAUUGGGGUGAAGGCUAGACUGGGACCCCUUCUGCCAACACCCAGUUUUUGUAGGCGCAGACAAUUUUUUGUUGCACUCGUGAGCAAUCCUCCAUGCAGCGCAGCAAAAAUUCCCUUCACUUACAAAACCAGUGUCAGGAUUCCCGUCUGGCCUUCCUCCUGAUAGGCUGCCUUUCUAUGGGUGGGGGAGUCUGUCAGCCACCU